Molecule: long non-coding RNA, 845 nt
Organism: Triticum aestivum (bread wheat)
Lineage: Eukaryota; Viridiplantae; Streptophyta; Magnoliopsida; Poales; Poaceae
Exons: 2
Source: RefSeq, a predicted model, not a curated record
GCAUGCCUCGACCUGCAUCUAGUCGCGCGUGCCAUGACGGUCGAGGCCACAUGGCACGUCGAGGCCUGUAGGUGAUGAUGCCUUUGUUACUUCCGGCAACCAGGGAUGUAAGCUACUGCGGCCAUUCCCAUGUGUACGAGAUGCAUGUGGCGCACAGACCAGCCUCCCGCCCAGCCGCCGUGACAUGUGGCCACCUAGCACUUCUACGCCCCAUGCUUUUCUGUUGUUCCCCUGUACUGUAUCUAGAUCAAGCGUUGAUUCCUCCCCCCUGUCCAGUUCUGUAUUGUUUGUAAGUAAUUUUGAUGUCUGAAGUUCAGCUAUACGUGCAGGUGCAAAAAACUAAUGUUUUCCGUUGGUUUUAGUUUCACAGGUCCUUCAGAAAAAUGGGAAAAGGGGUUUUCUUCCAUAUUUAUCUACAAAAUGUAUCAAUGCCUCUGUUUAUAGGAGGCACGGAGAUGUUUCCUGGACGGAUGUGCAAUCUGGUUUAAAUGGGCGAUGGCACAAAAUUAGGCCUUUUAGGUGUGGGAAUGGCACUCUUCGCCAUGAUCGCCAUGAGGAAAAUCUACAACCUACUAAAAGUUCAGCUGGUGCUUGUGUGUUCACAUGAAGACAGGAAUUGUGUGAGGGAGUAGAAAAGAAAAUUGUGGUAGAGAACAUGCCAUAGGCGUGGGUAAGUUGUGAUGUGAGGAAAUGCAUACACAUGUGUAUACAUUCCAAUUCUGCACUCAUAUGUACUCCUGCUUUUUUUGACACAAAAAUGUGCUCCUGCUAAGACAGAGAAACUACAUGUACUUCUGUAUUUAUGCUUAAAAAAUCACUGAAAAAACCAGCCCUAUUGAGUGCUC